Molecule: non-coding RNA, 2396 nt
Organism: Peromyscus maniculatus bairdii (prairie deer mouse)
Lineage: Eukaryota; Metazoa; Chordata; Mammalia; Rodentia; Cricetidae
Source: RefSeq, a predicted model, not a curated record
CUCUGUCAAGGUCCUCCUUAGGUGUGGCCCACAUCCUUUCUCUAAGAGGUUUCUAAGGGCAGGGAUCCUAUGUUACCACCUGAGGACCCCACUACCUCGCUCCAGCAAGGCCUUGUGGGAGGGGGCCUUAGUGUUGGCAAGCGCGGAAGACCAUCCACGUGCGUGUGGUCGCUUGGGUUGGGACCAUUUCAAAGGUGAAAAGGUAACAAGUCCUGGGCUCCUGGGACCUAGAUACCUGGAAGAACGGGCACACAACAGGAUGGCCAUGGUGGGAUUCAAUGCACUAACAGCCCAAGACAAAGGUAUUCAUCCAGCAUCCUCUGCUUGCCAGACCUUGUACUGGCCUGGGGACACAGGGAGAAGCACAGUCUUGGCUUCGACCCAUGUACAGCCUGCAGCUCAGCGGGAAGCAGAUGUCAAUCAAAUAGGUCCACAACUCGAGUCAGAGUGACAGCCUGGAUCGGUGCAGAGAAAAUAAGAUGACAAUGUGUGAACACUCGGAUAUAACCAGCAUGGGGAACUUGGGAGCCUUGUCUGAGGAAUGGAUGCACUAGAUGGAACCUGAGGGGAUGGGGGGACAGGCAAGCAGAGGGAUGCUUCUGGCCUCACUGGCUUGGAGAGCCGCGAAGGUUUGGAUCUGAGCUCCCACUCCGUGCUUCCACCAGGUCCUGCUGGACCGCAGGGAUCACAUGCUUGCCUGGCACCCGAGGAAGGACCAAUCCUCUCAGGCCAUGAUCUCUUCUCCACUCAAGGAAGGCCCAUGCGGGAGGGGCAGCUUUGGCCUAUAAGAUGCGCAAGUUCAAGCUUGGCAGAAGGGCUGUGAGGGGAGGGCACGAUCCCAGGACCUGGUUCCUGUGUGCCACAUGGUGUGGAAGGUUGCAGGUGAGAGCGUGCUUGAAGAGGGGAGGCCAGAGGCCUGGGGCAAAAUCAGGACCAGUCAACAAGCAGGCCGACAAACGGCUGUCAGAUCUACAAGUGGCCGGAACUUUUGCCCUCUCUGGGAACUCCGCACCUGGAGGGGCAGGUUUUCGGGAGCUCUGGUUGAGAGUGAAAGUAGUGGGUUCCCAAUGAGCUUCCCAUGCCAGCUUCCUGAACCUCUGGAAGUCAUUUUCCAGUGGGGUAGUGGCUCCGUGGCGUGUGGCCUCACCAAACAACUGGCGAUAGUGGAAGUGUUUCAUACACACCACAACAGGGCCUUGAGCUUGGUUUUAUCAUGGUGCCUGGCCAGCUGUGUUGUUGUUGUAGGACGAACAAAUGAACAAAUGAACGAAUGAGUGAAUGAAUGAAUGAAUGACCCCACCAGACAAUGAGCUCCGAGAAGGUAGAGACCAGCCUGUUUUAACUCAGCAUUGCUUCCCCAGCUCCUGGCCUACGGCAGACACCUGCUAAAUAUUUGAAAUGAAUGAACUAAGACAUGAACAGUGAAAUUUAACCCUGACUUUGGGGGAACUUCUCCAACUCCGGAGGUGAUGAGACUUAACUCAUUGUAGCCUUGGAGGUGACAAGGUCUUGCAUAAGUCCUGACUCCCCUGGCAAUCUUGAAGGCAGCUUUUAUGCUCUCAUUUUCACACGAGGAAGUAGCCUCUGAGAGACUGAGUGACUGAGUCCAGGCCCACAGCAGGACAAUGAUGAUGGUGUCAGACUAGACCCUCCAGACUGUCUCUGAAGCCUGUGCCUUCCCACAUAGAGGCCCCUACAGCAGGUGGCUUGAUGGGACACUAGCCUCUCUGUCUAUCAAACAAUCUGGAAUAUUCUUUGGGGGAAGGGUCUCCUGCUUGCACAGCUUCUCAGUGGCUUCCUAGUCAGGUGCUUCCGGGCCCAAUGAGAGGCCAAGAGUCACUCAGGACAAGCUGAGUCUAGCCACUAGCACACAUAUUCGGGUGUCUGAACGGAGCGGGCAGGGUUAGUGGUGUCUCUCUGGACCUAUAGACAUGAGAGACGGUCAAGCAGCCGGGCGCUCCCUGUUACUGCUGCUCCCUGAAUGCUCCCCAAUAGACACACUUCUGCAGUCAGGGACUUGGCACGUCAUAGCUGCUCAUCCCGUCCCCAGCUGGUCUUCAGCAUUGCCGUUCAAUUUGCUGUGUUUCUGUGGGACCAACUCUUGUGCUGCGUGCAGGUAACUUUCAGAAGGGGUGGUGUAUGAUGAACUAAGUUUGGGAGAGCUGGGUCGGAAACCUAAUCUGACAACAUGCUAACUUGCAGGACUUCUCAGAGCCUUUUUUAUGCUCAUAUAGAAUAUGAAUCCCCAAGGGUCUGCAGCUCCAGGAGGGAACAUUUCCCAACCUUAUCUGGCCAUUGUUUGUUGUUUUUUUUUUUCCCACUCUUUUGCUCUUUUGGGGAGCCUGCCACCCAGCUCCCAAAUAAAUCACACACGGAAGCUUAUUCUUAAUUAUAAA